Molecule: small RNA, 375 nt
Filed under: Pan troglodytes (chimpanzee)
Lineage: Eukaryota; Metazoa; Chordata; Mammalia; Primates; Hominidae
Description: retained intron
Source: RNAcentral
AGUAGCGCGGGAGCUGAGAAGUUGGAGGGUUGGGUUGGUCCCGGCAAGGCCUUGAGCAGUUUGUUCCGCUGUCUUCCCGCUUCCUGGUGCCCCGACUGCGUCCCCACGAACGCCCCGUCCUUACCGCCGGCUGCUGUGGAGUGCCUCGCUGUCUCCCAGGUCCCCGAGUUCCUGGUUUCAGAGAAGAUGACCGAAGAACUGGAUUUCCUGGGACAGGACUCUGAUGGGGGUAGUGAGGAAGUGGUCCUAACUCCUGCAGAGCUCAUUGAAAGAUUGGAGCAGGCCUGGAUGAAUGAAAAGUUUGCCCCUGAGCUGCUGGAGAGCAAGCCUGAGAUUGUAGAAUGUGUCAUGGAACAGCUGGAGCACAUGGUAAGA